Molecule: ribosomal RNA, 775 nt
Filed under: uncultured Neocallimastigales
Lineage: Eukaryota; Fungi; Neocallimastigomycota; Neocallimastigomycetes; Neocallimastigales
Description: partial large subunit ribosomal RNA
Rfam family: Eukaryotic large subunit ribosomal RNA
Source: RNAcentral
UAUGUGAUCGUCUCUCGCAUAUCAAUAAGCGGAGGAAAAGAAACUAACAAGGAUUCCCCUAGUAACGGCGAGUGAAGCGGGAAGAGCUCAAAUUUGAAAUCUUAAAGGGUUUCCCUUUACGAAUUGUAGUUUAAAGAAGUGUUUUCUGUUGAGGUUUUGGUAAAAGUUCUUUGGAAUAGGACAUCAUAGAGGGUGAGAAUCCCGUAUUUGACCUUUACUUUCAACUUUGUGAUACACUUUCAAAGAGUCGGAUUGUUUGGGAAUGCAGUCCAAAAUGGGUGGUAAAUUUCAUCUAAAGCUAAAUAUUGGCGAGAGACCGAUAGCGAACAAGUACCGUGAGGGAAAGAUGAAAAGAACUUUGAAAAGAGAGUUAAACAGUACGUGAAAUUGUCAAAAGGGAAGCGUUUGACACCAGUGUUGUUUUUCUGAAAAUCAAUUAAAGAACUGUUUAUGCUAAGCUGUUUAGACUUUAUCAGCUAAUCUGUUUAGUUUUGAGCUUUUCUUUAAUGCACUUUUCAGUUAACAAGUCAACAUCAAUUUCUUUUGCUGUAAAAAAGCUUGAGGAAGGUGGCUUGAGAUUCGUCUUAAGUGUUUAUAGCCUCUUGCCUAUGCAGUCGGAGAGAUUGAGGUCUGCAGCGUAGAUCCUUCGGGGCUAAAUGCAUUUGUGCUAAGUUAUAGCAUUUUAUAGACAACUUGUUGACUAUGAUUUGUCUUGUAGCUUACUCGCUUAUGUUAUUUUACCUACGCUUAGGAUGUUGAGUCGUAGAGCACGCAG